This 547-nucleotide ribosomal RNA is filed under the name uncultured bacterium. Its description in RNAcentral is "bacterial SSU rRNA". It matches the Rfam family "Bacterial small subunit ribosomal RNA", at positions 355 to 895 of the family's 1533-position model. The record is from RNAcentral.
UAGGGAAUCUUCCGCAAUGGGCGAAAGCCUGACGGAGCAACGCCGCGUGAGUGAAGAAGGAUUUCGGUUCGUAAAGCUCUGUUGUUAGGGAAGAAUGAUUGUGUAGUAACUAUACACAGUAGAGACGGUACCUAACCAGAAAGCCACGGCUAACUACGUGCCAGCAGCCGCGGUAAUACGUAGGUGGCAAGCGUUGUCCGGAAUUAUUGGGCGUAAAGCGCGCGCAGGUGGUUUAAUAAGUCUGAUGUGAAAGCCCACGGCUCAACCGUGGAGGGUCAUUGGAAACUGUUAAACUUGAGUGCAGGAGAGAAAAGUGGAAUUCCUAGUGUAGCGGUGAAAUGCGUAGAGAUUAGGAGGAACACCAGUGGCGAAGGCGGCUUUUUGGCCUGUAACUGACACUGAGGCGCGAAAGCGUGGGGAGCAAACAGGAUUAGAUACCCUGGUAGUCCACGCCGUAAACGAUGAGUGCUAAGUGUUGGUCUCAUAAGAGAUCAGUGCUGCAGCUAACGCAUUAAGCACUCCGCCUGGGGAGUACGACCGCAAGGUU